Molecule: ribosomal RNA, 253 nt
Filed under: uncultured bacterium
Lineage: Bacteria
Description: partial 16S ribosomal RNA
Rfam family: Bacterial small subunit ribosomal RNA
Source: RNAcentral
UACGUAGGGUGCGAGCGUUGUCCGGAAUUACUGGGCGUAAAGAGCUCGUAGGUGGUUUGUCGCGUUGUUCGUGAAAACUCACAACUCAAUUGUGGGCGUGCGGGCGAUACGGGCAGACUUGAGUACUGCAGGGGAGACUGGAAUUCCUGGUGUAGCGGUGGAAUGCGCAGAUAUCAGGAGGAACACCGGUGGCGAAGGCGGGUCUCUGGGCAGUAACUGACGCUGAGGAACGAAAGCGUGGGUAGCAAACAGG